GAGCUCACUCCAGCAGCACAUAUACUAAGCUUGGAACAAUACAGAGAUUGGCAUGGCCCCUGCACAAGGAGGACACGCAAAUUCAUGAAGCGUUCCAUACUUAA
RNAcentral lists this small nuclear RNA (104 nucleotides) under Myotis brandtii (Brandt's bat). Lineage: Eukaryota; Metazoa; Chordata; Mammalia; Chiroptera; Vespertilionidae. The record is from RNAcentral.